Molecule: ribosomal RNA, 500 nt
Filed under: uncultured bacterium
Lineage: Bacteria
Description: partial 16S ribosomal RNA
Rfam family: Bacterial small subunit ribosomal RNA
Source: RNAcentral
GAUGAACACUGGCGGCGUGCUUAACACAUGCAAGUCGAACGAAGCACUUUAUUUGAUUUUCUUCGGAAAUGAAGAUCUUGUGACUGAGUGGCGGACGGGUGAGUAACGCGUGGAUAACCUGCCUCACACAGGGGGAUAACAGUUAGAAAUGACUGCUAAUACCGCAUAAGCGCACAGUACCGCAUGGUACGGUGUGAAAAACUCCGGUGGUGUGAGAUGGAUCCGCGUCUGAUUAGCCAGUUGGCGGGGUAACGGCCCACCAAAGCGACGAUCAGUAGCCGACCUGAGAGGGUGACCGGCCACAUUGGGACUGAGACACGGCCCAAACUCCUACGGGAGGCAGCAGUGGGGAAUAUUGCGCAAUGGGGGAAACCCUGACGCAGCGACGCCGCGUGAGCGAUGAAGUAUUUCGGUAUGUAAAGCUCUAUCAGCAGGGAAGAAAAAAAUGACGGUACCUGACUAAGAAGCCCCGGCUAACUACGUGCCAGCCGCCGCAGUAA